GACGAACGCUGGCGGCGCGCCUAAUACAUGCAAGUAGAACGCAGUUGCGAACGGGUGAGUAACGCGUAGGUAACCUGCCUCAUAGCGGGGGAUCACUAUUGGAAACGAUAGCUAAUACCGCGUACUGUGAGAUGGACCUGCGUUGUAUUAGCUAGUUGGUGAGGUAAAGGCUCACCAAGGCGACGAUACAUAGCCGACCUGAGAGGGUGGUCGGCCACACUGGGUCUGAUGCACGGCCCAGUCUCCUACGGGAGCCAGCAGUAGGGAAUCUUCGGCAAUGGACGGAAGUCUGGCCUAGCAACGCCCCGUGGGUGGCGACGGUUUUCGGAUCGUCUAGCUCUGUUUUUAGAGAAGCGGUCACUAGCAAGAGACGGACGGCUAACUACGUGCCAGCAGCCGCGGUAAUAC
RNAcentral lists this ribosomal RNA (408 nucleotides) under uncultured bacterium. Its description in RNAcentral is "partial 16S ribosomal RNA". It matches the Rfam family "Bacterial small subunit ribosomal RNA", at positions 28 to 526 of the family's 1533-position model. The record is from RNAcentral.